ACUUUAUACAUAAUGAAUCCGCCACCUAUAACAUUCCUAUUGAUUGAAGAGCAUAUUUUUCUACAAGACCCUACAAUUUAAUCAGACUGUAAAAGUUUAAUCAUGGGAAACAGGCCUUUAAUUUAUUCAAGCAUUUGUGCAUCACAAUUAGAUACUGUAAUUACACUAGACAUUUUGCAAGGCUAUUCUUUCUUCUUCGCAUGAGUAACAAAACAUUCUGUAGUAGACUGGCUUUCUCUUCUUUUUUAUUGCAAGCAAUAUGAAAUGGAAGCAGAAAUA
Molecule: unclassified non-coding RNA, 279 nt
Filed under: Hevea brasiliensis (rubber tree)
Lineage: Eukaryota; Viridiplantae; Streptophyta; Magnoliopsida; Malpighiales; Euphorbiaceae
Source: RNAcentral